CUGCAUUUUAUUGCACUUAUUACAUAAAUAUACAGUUGGCAAAACAAUUUACUACUAAAAUUCAGAUUCUCUCUCAGUAUAACGCAAAGUAUUACUCUGAACACCUACUUCAGGCAUCACUCAGUAAGUCAACCACUAAAAGCCUCUCUGCUCAGAUUUUCCUGGUGCAUCUUUUAUUUCUCUUCUCUUUCAUGUAGAAGUCUAUGAAUAAUGCCCACCUAAUGCAAAGGAGUUUCUCAUAUCUCUGACGCAGCAACAAUUUAUCACAUGCUUUCACAUAAAUGAGAAUGUUGAAAUAGUAUAAUUUUAGAGUUGAAUUAUUUGCUUUUGAAAAAAAUUUUUACUUUUUUCAAGUGAAAAAAUAUAUUUCGAAUAUAUCUCUUCAAAAACCUACUUUUCAACUUAUAUACAAGGAAAUUUUCUAACAGGUUCAACUUUUGUUAUACUUAAUACUCUGAUUUAUUUUAAAGUCUGAAGUGUUAGUUCCUUAGUUCUUUCUACUGUAAAUCCUCUGAUGUUUACAUAGUCUUAAUUUUAGCCUAAAUAUUUCUUCACAUUUACUGCACCUACAAAUUAUAUUCUAGUAAAAAUUCUCUGGUGUUUCUUUUCUUUUUAUCUUGUUUUGAGACAGAGUUUCACUCUUGUUACCCAGGCUGGAGUGCAAUGGCACGAUCUCAGCUCACCGCAACCUCCACCUCCUGGGUUCAAGCCAUUCUCCUGUCUCAGCCUCCUGAGUAGCUGGGAUUACAGCCAUGCACCACCAUGUCCUGCUAAUUUUUGUAUUUUUAGUACAGACGAGGUUUCUCCAUAUUGGUCAGGCUGUCCUUGAACUCCCGACCUCAGGUGAUCCACCCUCCUUGGCCUCCCAAAGUGUUGGGAUUACAGGCGUGAGCCACCGCGCCUGGCCUCUGGUUUCUUAACCUGCAGUUUCUGAACAGAGGUUUUUCCACAUUUAUUACAUUUGUAGGAUUUCUCUCCAAUAUAAAUUCUCUGAUGUUGAACAAAGUUUAAGCAACUGCUUCAGAGUUUUCCUCUAGUACAAAAUGCAUAUAGUAAGUUCUGGGAUACAAGUACAGGUACUAGAGCCCUCUUUAUCUUUGUAUUCUCUGUCUUAAGACUAUUCUUCACUUUAAUGGCCUAUAUUUUCUAAAAGGUCUUUCAACAGAAAUUACAUUUAUAAUGCUUUUAUUAACUAUAAAUUUCAAGUAGACAAUAGCUUUUGUAUAUUUUUAUGUUUGUACAAGUAGUCUCACAUAUAAAUACUAUCAUGUGCAAAAAUGCUAAGCAUUGGUUACAAGUUUUGCCACAUUUUUUGUAUUUCCAGGUGUUUUCUUCAGUAGGAAUUACAUUAAGAACUGACUAGAAUUGGAAGUCUUUGCCACAUUUUUAAUUUUAAUUUGGCUUCUCAUCAAUAUAAUUACUCUUAUGUCUACAACAGAUUGAGGUGUGAUUAAAAGCCUUCUCACAUUUUUCACAUUUUAGAGUUUCUCUUCAUUAUGAAUUAUCUUAUGAUUAGAAAGGAUUGAGGAGCAUUUAAAGACCGCGACAUUCGUCACCUUCGUAAGACAUUCCCCUGGUAUGAGUUCUCUUAUGUUUAAGAAUGCUGUAGUAUGACUUAAAGGCUUUGCCACAUUCUUUACACUUGUAUGGUUUUAUCUCCAGUAUGAAUUUUCUUAUGUGCAUAAAGAUUUGCAGACUGUCUAAAGGUUUUGCCACAGUCUCCACACGUGUAGGGUUUCUCUCCAGUAUGAAUUUUCUUAUGCGCAUAAAGAUUUGCAGACUGUCUAAAGGUUUUGCCACAUUCUCCACAUGUGUAGGGUUUCUCUCCAGUAUGAAUUCUCCUAUGUACAUAAAGGAUUGCUGACUGUCUAAAGGCUUUGCCACAUUCUUCACAUGUGUAGGGUUUCUCUCCAGUAUGAAUUCUCCUAUGUUUAGUAAGGGUUGUGGAACUAGUAAACGCUUUACCACAUUCUAAACAUUUAAAGGGUUUCUCACCUGUAUGAAUCCUCUUAUGUUUAGCAAAGCUUGAGGAUGACGUAAUGACUUUGCCACAUUCCUUACAUUUGUAGGGUUUCUUUCCAGUAUGAAUUUUCUCAUGUCUAUUCAGGUGUGAGGACUGUUUAAACACUUUCCCACAUUCUUUACAUUUGUAGAGUUUAUCUCCAGUAUGAAUUUUCUUAUAUUCGUUCAGGUUUGUGGACCAUCCAAAGGAUCUGCCACGAUCUUCACAUUUGUAGGGUUUCUCCCUAGUGUGAACUCUCCUAUGUGUAGUAAGGUUUCUUGACCUACUAAAGGCUUUGCCACACUCUUCACAUUUGUAAGGUUUUUCUCCAGUAUGAAUUUUCUUGUGUUGAUUCAGGGCUAUGGACCAUCCAAAGGCUUUGCCACACUCUUCACAUUUGUAACUUUGCUCUCCAGUAAGAAUUUUCGUGUGUUGAUUCAGGUCUGUUGAUGGGGCAAAGGCUUUGCCACACUCUUCACAUUUGUAAGGUUUCUCCCCAGUGUAAAUUUUCUUCUGUUGAUUCAGGUCCGUGUACCAUACAAAGUCUUUGCCACACUCUUCACAUUUGUAAAGUUUCUCUCCAGUAUGAAUUUUCUUGUGUUGAUUCAGGUCUGUGUACCGUCCAAAGGCUUUGCCACACUCUUCACAUUUGUAAGGUUUCUCUCCAGUAUGAAUUCUCCUAUGUACAUAAAGGUUUGCGGACUGUCUAAAGGUUUUGCCACAUUCUUCACAUGUGUAGGGUUUCUCUCCAGUAUGAAUUCUCCUAUGUACAUAAAGGAUUGCGGACUGUCUAAAGGCUUUGCCACAUACUUCACAUGUGUAGGGUUUCUCUCCAGUAUGAAUUCUCCUAUGUUUAGUAAGGGUUGUGGAACUAGUAAACGCUUUACCACAUUCUAAACAUUCAAAGGGUUUCUCGCCAGUAUGAAUCCUCUUAUGUUUAGCAAAGCUUGAGGAUGAGGUAAUGACUUUGCCACAUUGCUUACAUUUGUAGGGUUUCUUUCCAGUAUGAAUUUUCUCAUGUUUAUUCAGGUGCAAGGAAUGUAUAAAGGCUUUCCCACAUUCUUUACAUUUGUAGGGUUUCUCUCCAGUAUGAAUUUUCUCAUGUUUAUUCAGGUGUGAGGAAUGCAUAAAGGCUUUCCCACAUUCUUUACAUUUGUAGGGUUUAUCUCCAGUAUGAAUUUUCUUAUAUUCAUUCAGGUUUGUGGACCAUCCAAAGGCUCUGUCACGAUCUUCACCUGUGUAAGCUUUCUCUCUGUUGUGAAUUCUCUUAUGUGCAGUAAGGUUUGUUGACCUAUUAAAGGCUUUGCCACAUUCUUCACAUUUGUAAGGUUUCUCUCCAGUAUGAAUUUUCUUGUGUUGAUUCAGGUCUGUGUACCAUCCAAAGUCUUUGCCACGUUCUUCACAAGUGUAGGGUUUCUCUCCAGCAUGAAUUCCUUUAUGUUGAGUUAGGUCUGAGAACUUCUGAAAUGACUUGCCACAUUCGUUACAUUUAAAGUGUUUCUCUCCAGUAUGUCUUGUCUUAUCUUUGUUUGAAUUUGCAAAUUUACUAAAAACUUUGACACGUGCAUUACAUUGAAAUAUUUUGCUCUGAGUAUUUGACAAGCAUUUAUUAAUUCCAUUAUAAACUCCCUUCUGCACUUUACACACGUUCAUACUUUUACAGCCUUUCCUUAAUUGUAAAUUAUCAUGCCCACAUUUCUCAUAUCUUCUCAGUAUAAGUUUGUGGAAUGAAUCUUCUAUCCCCUGCACUGGCAAAAAGUCUUGGGUGAAAUGAGAACACAUA
Molecule: long non-coding RNA, 3785 nt
Filed under: Homo sapiens (human)
Lineage: Eukaryota; Metazoa; Chordata; Mammalia; Primates; Hominidae
Description: long non-coding RNA NONHSAT094552.2
Source: RNAcentral